GUUGAAGUCUAUCCCAAUAGGGCUUUUUCUGUAGACCUAAAUCAUUGGAAACACCUCAUAUUAUGUGGUUUCCUUUACUCACAGAACUGUGUGUUAGAUCUGUGGGAAAGAACUAUAAGACAGGU
Manis pentadactyla (Chinese pangolin) is the source of this 125-nucleotide small nucleolar RNA. NCBI's taxonomy places the organism in Eukaryota, Metazoa, Chordata, Mammalia, Pholidota, Manidae. The record is from RefSeq and is a predicted model, not a curated record.